GCGGCGUGGAUAAGACAUGCAAGUCGAACGAGAGAAUUGCUAGCUUGCUAAUAAUUCUCUAGUGGCGCACGGGUGAGUAACACGUGAGUAACCUGCCCCCGAGAGCGGGAUAGCCCUGGGAAACUGGGAUUAAUACCGCAUAGUAUCGAAAGAUUAAAGCAGCAAUGCGCUUGGGGAUGGGCUCGCGGCCUAUUAGUUAGUUGGUGAGGUAACGGCUCACCAAGGCGAUGACGGGUAGCCGGUCUGAGAGGAUGUCCGGCCACACUGGAACUGAGACACGGUCCAGACACCUACGGGUGGCAGCAGUCGAGAAUCAUUCACAAUGGGGGAAACCCUGAUGGUGCGACGCCGCGUGGGGGAAUGAAGGUCUUCGGAUUGUAAACCCCUGUCAUGUGGGAGCAAAUUAAAAAGAUAGUACCACAAGAGGAAGAGACGGCUAACUCUGUGCCAGCAGCCGCGGUAAUACAGAGGUCUCAAGCGUUGUUCGGAAUCACUGGGCGUAAAGCGUGCGUAGGCUGUUUCGUAAGUCGUGUGUGAAAGGCGCGGGCUCAACCCGCGGACGGCACAUGAUACUGCGAGACUAGAGUAAUGGAGGGGGAACCGGAAUUCUCGGUGUAGCAGUGAAAUGCGUAGAUAUCGAGAGGAACACUCGUGGCGAAGGCGGGUUCCUGGACAUUAACUGACGCUGAGGCACGAAGGCCAGGGGAGCGAAAGGGAUUAGAUACCCCUGUAGUCCUGGCAGUAAACGGUGCACGCUUGGUGUGCGGGGAAUCGACCCCCUGCGUGCCGGAGCUAACGCGUUAAGCGUGCCGCCUGGGGAGUACGGUCGCAAGAUUAAAACUCAAAGAAAUUGACGGGGACCCGCACAAGCGGUGGAGUAUGUGGCUUAAUUCGAUGCAACGCGAAGAACCUUACCUGGGCUUGACAUGUAAUGAACAACAUGUGAAAGCAUGCGACUCUUCGGAGGCGUUACACAGGUGCUGCAUGGCCGUCGUCAGCUCGUGUCGUGAGAUGUUUGGUUAAGUCCAGCAACGAGCGCAACCCCUGUUGCCAGUUACCAGCACGUGAAGGUGGGGACUCUGGCGAGACUGCCCAGAUCAACUGGGAGGAAGGUGGGGACGACGUCAGGUCAGUAUGGCCCUUAUGCCCAGGGCUGCACACGUACUACAAUGCCCAGUACAGAGGGGGCCGAAGCCGCGAGGCGGAGGAAAUCCUGAAAACUGGGCCCAGUUCGGACUGUAGGCUGCAACCCGCCUACACGAAGCCGGAAUCGCUAGUAAUGGCGCAUCAGCUACGGCGCCGUGAAUACGUUCCCGGGUCUUGUACACACCGCCCGUCACAUCAUGGAAGCCGGUCGCACCCGAAGUAUCUGAAGCCAACCGCAAGGAGGCAGGGUCCUAAGGUGAGACUGGUAACU
RNAcentral lists this ribosomal RNA (1417 nucleotides) under uncultured organism. RNAcentral describes it as "16S ribosomal RNA". It matches the Rfam family "Bacterial small subunit ribosomal RNA". The record is from RNAcentral.